AUUGAACGCUGGCGGCAGGCCUAACACAUGCAAGUCGAGCGGAUGAAGUGAGCUUGCUCCUGGAUUCAGCGGCGGACGGGUGAGUAAUGCCUAGGAAUCUGCCUGGUAGUGGGGGAUAACGUCCGGAAACGGGCGCUAAUACCGCAUACGUCCUGCGGGAGAAAGUGGGGGAUCUUCGGACCUCACGCUAUCAGAUGAGCCUAGGUCGGAUUAGCUAGUUGGUGGGGUAAAGGCCUACCAAGGCGACGAUCCGUAACUGGUCUGAGAGGAUGAUCAGUCACACUGGAACUGAGACACGGUCCAGACUCCUACGGGAGGCAGCAGUGGGGAAUAUUGGACAAUGGGCGAAAGACUGAUCCAGCCAUGCCGCGUGUGUGAAGAAGGUCUUCGGAUUGUAAAGCACUUUAAGUUGGGAGGAAGGGCAGUAAGUUAAUACCUUGCUGUUUUGACGUUACCAACAGAAUAAGCACCGGCUAACUUCGUG
Molecule: ribosomal RNA, 484 nt
Filed under: uncultured bacterium
Lineage: Bacteria
Description: partial 16S ribosomal RNA
Rfam family: Bacterial small subunit ribosomal RNA
Source: RNAcentral